RNAcentral lists this ribosomal RNA (203 nucleotides) under Escherichia coli. RNAcentral's name for it is "partial 16S ribosomal RNA". It matches the Rfam family "Bacterial small subunit ribosomal RNA", at positions 156 to 361 of the family's 1533-position model. The record is from RNAcentral. Lineage: Bacteria; Pseudomonadati; Pseudomonadota; Gammaproteobacteria; Enterobacterales; Enterobacteriaceae.
ACGGUAGCUAAUACCGCAUAACGUCGCAAGACCAAAGAGGGGGACCUUCGGGCCUCUUGCCAUCGGAUGUGCCCAGAUGGGAUUAGCUUGUUGGUGGGGUAACGGCUCACCUAGGCGACGAUCCCUAGCUGGUCUGAGAGGAUGACCAGCCACACUGGAACUGAGACACGGUCCAGACUCCUACGGGAGGCAGCAGUGGGGAA